CUCUUGCUUAGUGAUUGGAUUCGGGUACAGUCGGUGUUGGAUUGAAGUGGUGAGCUUCCAUAGUUCAAAAAUCAUCUGUUUUAUGUCACAGUUUACUUUACAUAAUUCUUGUCUUUCAUAAACAAUGGUUUUGGAUAUGGUCCGGACAAGGUACUCUUUGGUUGGUCUAGAGGCUUUGUAUGGACAACUGUAGACUUGGGUAUGGUAUGGGCUGUUUUAGUUAAAAAUAUACAUUAGCUUAUUAUCAUGGUAUUUAGUUUUAUGGCUUCCGCAUUGGUUUAGUUGGUUAUUGGGUGGUUGGAAUUGAUUUGGUUGGUCUCGGUUAUAGACUUAUCCCAGAGUCUCUACAUGGUUGUACACAUUAUCUUAUUAUAUGCUAGAACUUCAGUCGACUCAAGGUAUGUGUUUGGUGGUUGGGUUAGAUAACAGGGGCAGUUUUCGAUCCUGGUUGGGCUUGGGAUUACCCAUUACGUAUAGGCCCUGUUUUGGGAUAGGAUGGAAGCAGAGUAGUAUUUUGGGAUAGAGGUAAGGAGUAGAGCCCGGUGGCCUAGGUUAACUCCUUUUUGUUUGAAUAGGCUUGAACAUGGAAGUGGUGGUAUAUAGUUAGACUUUAGCUUUCGUAGUGAUAUGUCUUGGUAAAUUCUAAGUUGGAUUGGACUUACUCUCUAGCAUGAGUCCAUUUAUUUGGUAUUCUAUGUAUUUGUGUUGGGGUAAGGUGUGAUUGGUUCCUUUGGGUGGUAUAUCUCUAAUUCCUUAUUCUUUAAAGGGUAAUGUUGGAUUGGUAAGUUCGCCGGUUGUGAACAAAAUAUGUGGCUUUGGUAAAGGUUCCAUAGUGGAGCUAAAAGCCCGAGAAAGCCAUUUGGGAUGUGGAAGUGGACAUGGAAGUCCAAAUCUCCUCGUUUGUUCUUUGUUCCAAAAAUUCGUGCGUGAGGUGUGUGUUCUUCGAACACAUCCUUGUUUUCUAACUUGGUUAAGGGUGAGGAAUGGUUCCACUUGUCCUGACUAGGUACUCUUUGGUUGGUUAGAGGCUUUGUAUGGACAAUUGUGGACUUGGGUGUGGUAUGGGGUGUUUUAGUUAUAAAUAAACAUUGGCUUAUUAUCAUGGUAUUUAGUUUUAUGGAUUCUGCAUUAGUUUGGUUGGUUAUUGGUGGUUGGACUUGAUUGAGUUGGUCUCGAUUAUAGACUUAUCACAGAGUCUCCACAUGGUUGUACACGCUAUCUUGUUAUAUAUUCGGACUUCAGCCUACUCAAGGUAUGCAUUUAGUGGUUGGAUUGCGUAACGGGGGCGAUUUCCGGUCCUGGUUGGGCUUCAGAUUUCCCAUUACAUCUAGGCCUCGAUUCGGGUGGUGACACAAGUCAUAUUUAAGCCUUUUCUUUUAAAAAAAAAGAAAUUAUCGAAAAGCCCCUAUAAUUUGGUGGAUAGUACCUGUAAAUUUGAAGGCUAUUUAUCCGAGUAAAAAUUAAUGUGGAUAAGCAGAAAAAAACCGUUUUAAAGCCCGAUUAAUACAAAUUUGAGCCCGAAAAUCUCACUUUCCAAUUUAUUUGGAUUCUUGUUAGAAUGUUAGUUAUUGCAUUGUAUUUUCUUUGUUACCUAAGAACAAUGUUUGUCUUGGCUUUAUUUUAUUAUGCCCAUUAUUAAAUUUCUUGUCACGAAACAAAGAAAAACAUUAUUUUAUGUAACUAUUUAUUUAAUGUGAUUGGUUAUAAUCUUAUUAUUGUUUCAUUUUUCCAUUAUUUAUUAUUUAAUAAUUUUAUUUGUCCUUUAUCUCGUAUCUCACUUUUAUUUUAUAUUAUUGCACGUCUAUUCUUCAGAUUAUUAUUGUGUGACAUUGUGAAUCAAUAAAAAAUAAUACAAUCACUACAAGAAAACUGUUUAUUAGAGACCACAAUUUAGGGAUAACUUGUAAAUACGGUCCCUAAAAAUAUCCUUUUAGGGAUGACAUUAUUUAGUGGUCUCUAUACAUGUACAAAAAUUCAAUUAAGCCCGUGGGAAAAAAUUAUCUGAUCGGCAAAUGUGAAAAAUUUAGGCGGGAGUCACGGGCGGGAUAUGAAAUAUAUUUUUAUAUAAUAAGUGAAUAAACACUAAAAUGUUUCUCUCUCUAGAAGAAGGUCCUACUGAUCGAUUCUCUCUCUUUCACUGCCAAAAUAGACAACUCUCUGUCUUACCCUCCGAUGAAGUAUAAUCCCUAAAUCUCAUUGCCUAUAUUCCUAAAUCGCUCAUUGAUGUCACUCAAAAGUUGAAGGUUUUGCUCGUGAAAAAGAUAUUAUUGGAAAGUUUUAUAGAGAAAUCUGCGAGGUGAGUUUGAUUAUUUGAUUUAAUUAAUUUCUUAAAAUUGAGUUUAUUUAUUAAUUAGGUCAGUGUUUGUCAGGAGUUAAUUUUAAUUUGUUUGCAGAGAUCUAUGUAUUAGUCAGAAAUGGGAUUUUAGGUGUAAUAGUAGUUCUUAUUUCAUUAAUUGAGAUAUAAACUAUUUUAAUUAUGUUAAAUUAACAUGAAUCUGCACUUCAUAUCUACUGGAUGCCAUUUUUUGAUUUGAAGAUUUGCUAAUUUCUAUCGCUUUCUAUAGAUAUGGAGCAGUUAAAUGCAGUGAAAGAGGCAUUGCAUGCGUCUAGGGCUCCAUCAAAUCUUUUGUGUAGAGAAACUGAGAAAAAUAGAAUUCUGGAGUUUUGUAAGCAAGUUGUGGAACAAGAGAAGGUAGAAAUUUUGAAUAUAUUUGUGGCUGCCUCAAUGGAAAAGGUUAACAACAUCCUGGUUAAUUGGGAAGAAGAAGAGCUUAAAAGAAUGGUAAUUGCUGGAUUCUUGAUUCCAGGGCGUUUAUGUUGUUUUUGCCUUUUGCUCUGCUCUAAUUUUGGGUGCUCUCAAAAGUUAGUACCAACUUUUUUUUACCUUUCAAGAUUUUUUUCUACUGUAUGAUUUUUUGAUCCUGUGGAAACAGACUCUGACAGAAAUGCAGUGUAAGGCUGCGUACAAUAGACACUUAUGAUCUGGCCCUUCCCCGGACCUCGUGUAUAGCGGGAGAUGCCAUUUUUUUUCUUUUUUUGAAUGAUUUUGUGAUCAUGGUCUGUGUUACUAUUAAUACUUAUGGUUCUCAAUUCCAUAAUUUUCUGAUUGCAGGUGUGCUGGUAGGUCCAAUUGCUGGCCUAAUACUUAUUUUAGGAAACAUUGGGGUGAUUUUAUGUCUCUUCCCAGCACAUGUUUUCUGGAUAGUAUACACCCUUGUCAAGUAAAUGUCUUCUUUUAGGACAUUCAUUUAAGUUGUCCAAAGUUGAAUUCUCUAUUUUCUAAUAUGGAUUUCAUGACAGUUGGACAGGACUAAUAGGUUUGAUGCACCACUUAAAGUUGCUUUAUUGUUCGCUUUGCCAGCUUUAUUUAGUAUUUGGUUGGGAUUAAGCAUAGCUGGUAGUGUUCUUUUUGGAGUUGGAUAUGGAUUCUUUGCUCCUUGGGUUUCUUCCUUUGAAGCUUUUAGACAUGACGAUAAAUUUAACAAGUUUGUUCAUUGUAUUGUUGAUGGAACAUGGGGAACCAUAAAAGGUAGCUAUGCAUAUGGUAGUGAACUGUAAGGAACGAGUAUAAUCCAGCCAUAACUAUACAUUCUGUUCAGAAUGAAUAUAAUCUAGCCAACCUUUCUCUCUCUCUGUACCUUCUCUUUAUCUCUCUUACUCUCUCUAUUAUGGAUGCCGCCGAUCGGCUACUACACGACCCCUUUCCUUCCUCCUCUCUACCACCAACAAAACCCCAACCCUAGUCAUCAUCAUUGCUUCAGAUUCGAGCCCCAACCACAGAAAUUCAUGAGUUGCUUCUGAGUUUUACUGAAGCUGAGGUAAAUAUUGUGAGACUAAAAGGCAGUGUUCCGUUGGUAUUUCGAUGGGGUAGAGAAGAGAUGGAUUUUCUUCAACAAAAGGAAAGUACCUCCAUAAUAAGCACAGGAUUGCAACUUCAAGUAAAUCACGUCUUUAUUCUGAACUAUACUGGAAACGUUAAUCUUCACAAAGGGGAAAACAGUCUCAGCCGUAGGAAAUCAUUAUUGGAUCAUUAGUUGGGGCUUUCGCUCUUCUUCUUGCUACUAUUGUCUCUUGCAUACUACUUCAAAAAGGACAAAAAACCUCUCUUAAAGAAAGGCCACGUUGAACUGAAUUUACCUCCUCAAAGGUUUGUCUCUUCCUUGGGAGAUCCUGCAACAGAAGCAGCACACUGCUUUACAAUUGUUGAACUUGAAGAAAUGACCAAGGACUUUGAGAAAAUGGUUGGAUCAGGGGGAUUUGGAGUUGUAUACUAUGGGAAAUUGAAGGACGGAAAGGAAAUUACUGUCAAAGUUCUUACAAAUAAUUCCUUUCAGGGUUGCUCUGCUUUCAAGAAUACAUCACAGAAACCUUGUACAAUUUCUGGGAUUUUGCCCGGAAGACCGGAAGAGUAUCCCUGUGUACGUAUUCAUGCAUAAUGGAACUCUUAAAGAACACCUCUAUGGUCCUCAGAUACCUGAUCGAAGUAUUAAAUGAUUUGAUUUACGAACAGACUCCACCUACACUUUCAGUUGUAAAAUAUUUUAUAGGUGAGAGUGGGCUAGUUAUGCCUUUCUUAAGUUAAUACAUAAGGUCGAAGUGAAAUCUAAUUCUUCCAUACAUACAACUUGAGGUAGACCUCGUUCUAGUCCUUACAUUAGCUGUUUCUAAGUUAAUACAAUAGUAUUUUAUAUGGGCUUGUCAACUCUUCCUUUCCUAGCCUCAAAGCUUAUACAUCACGGGUUGCCAGCUAAUACACCAGUUGUUUUCGUUGAGGGAGGAACAACACCUCAACAACGCAUGGGAACGGUCCUUUAAAUGAUGGAUAAUUAUUGAUUAGGCGUCUGAAGCUGAUUAUCAUCAUUGCUGAGACCUUACAAUAUAAGCUAGGAAUGUUAGAUUUAGGAUUAUGUAACCAGUUAUAUGAUAUUUAUAUAAUGACUAGAUGAUAAUUAAAGUGUAAAUACAUUUGUUUGUAAUAUAUCCAAAACUUUUCUUUAUAUA
Capsicum annuum is the source of this 5001-nucleotide long non-coding RNA. RefSeq lists it as uncharacterized. The transcript is spliced from 8 exons. The record is from RefSeq and is a predicted model, not a curated record. NCBI's taxonomy places the organism in Eukaryota, Viridiplantae, Streptophyta, Magnoliopsida, Solanales, Solanaceae.